CAACCUGCCGUCUACUUUUGGCCAGCCUUCUGAAAGGAAGAUUAAUCCAGGAUGGCAUCAUGAGUUCACAUGUCCGCAUGAUUAAAGGUAUUUUCCGGUAGACGAUGGGGAUGCGUUCCAUUAGAUAGUAGGCGGGGUAACGGCCCACCUAGUCAACGAUGGAUAGGGGUUCUGAGAGGAAGGUCCCCCACAUUGGAACUGAGACACGGUCCAAACUCCUACGGGAGGCAGCAGUGAGGAAUAUUGGUCAAUGGGCGAUGGCCUGAACCAGCCAAGUAGCGUGAAGGAUGACUGCCCUAUGGGUUGUAAACUUCUUUUAUAAAGGAAUAAAGUCGGGUAUGCAUACCCGUUUGCAUGUACUUUAUGAAUAAGGAUCGGCUAACUCCGUGCCAGCAGCCGCGGUAAUACGGAGGAUCCGAGCGUUAUCCGGAUUUAUUGGGUUUAAAGGGAGCGUAGAUGGAUGUUUAAGUCAGUUGUGAAAGUUUGCGGCUCAACCGUAAAAUUGCAGUUGAUACUGGAUGCCUUGAGUGCAGUUGAGGCAGGCGGAAUUCGUGGUGUAGCGGUGAAAUGCUUAGAUAUCACGAAGAACUCCGAUUG
This 597-nucleotide ribosomal RNA is filed under the name uncultured Bacteroidota bacterium. RNAcentral describes it as "bacterial SSU rRNA". It matches the Rfam family "Bacterial small subunit ribosomal RNA", at positions 122 to 715 of the family's 1533-position model. The record is from RNAcentral. Lineage: Bacteria; Pseudomonadati; Bacteroidota.